GUUUACGGGAUUGUGUGCCGACGUGCGCCAUCCAUCCUUCGAGAGAACACUUCUACCCUUCACUGGGUCGGGAGUGCUAUCUCGAUCUUUUACUUUGAAAAAAUUAGAGUGUUUAAAGCAGGCUUGCGCUAUGAAUACAUUAGCAUGGAAUAAUAAUUUAGGACUUUGGUCUUAUUUUGUUGGUUUCUAGGACUAAAGUAAUGAUUGAUAGGGACAGUUGGGGGUGCUAGUAUUCGGCGGC
RNAcentral lists this ribosomal RNA (241 nucleotides) under uncultured fungus. RNAcentral's name for it is "partial 18S ribosomal RNA". The stretch from base 76 to 241 matches the Rfam family "Eukaryotic small subunit ribosomal RNA", at positions 738 to 905 of the family's 1831-position model. Lineage: Eukaryota; Fungi. The record is from RNAcentral.